This 221-nucleotide long non-coding RNA is filed under the name Elaeis guineensis (African oil palm). RNAcentral's name for it is "long non-coding RNA (EGUI_LNC034415)". The record is from RNAcentral. Lineage: Eukaryota; Viridiplantae; Streptophyta; Magnoliopsida; Arecales; Arecaceae.
AUAUAUGGUAUUAACUAAUUACCAUCAGCAAAUAACAUGGCUCCCUCAUGAUCACAAACAACAAACCCCACUACUGCUGCAUGCUUAUAUACAGUGCCAUCAAAAUUUAAAAGAAACACUCCACAGAGAGGAGGGUCCUAUGCAAUAUAAGAGGAAGAGAGCUGAUUAUUCAGUUGAGAAGAGCACCAGAUUUGUGACUGAGUGCAUCGAACAUAAGGUGA